RNAcentral lists this transfer RNA (75 nucleotides) under bacterium. Its description in RNAcentral is "tRNA-Phe". It matches the Rfam family "tRNA". Rfam says of the family: Transfer RNA (tRNA) molecules are approximately 80 nucleotides in length. Their secondary structure includes four short double-helical elements and three loops (D, anti-codon, and T loops). The record is from RNAcentral. RNAcentral also lists the same sequence under 2 other names.
GCCGAUGUAGCUCAGUGGUAGAGCAGAGGACUGAAAAUCCUUGUGUCGUCAGUCCGAUUCUGACCAUCGGCACCA